AAAGUCGUAACAAGGUUUCCGUAGGUGAACCUGCGGAAGGAUCAUUAACACGUUUAACAAACGUAUAACCAACCGUGAACUGUAUUAACCCUUUCCCAUAUUGAUUUAAAGUGGAUGAAGUGAGCAUAUGGUGAGCACUCCUGGUGUACCUGCCUUGAGUCCUCUUGCUUUGUCUAGUACUCUCGAAGUACAACGCUUGAAUUGGUAUGGCUACUAACCUAGUCACCAUUGGGUUGCUUUUCUCUCCGCAAGGAUUGAGAGAGGCAAUCCUCAAUAUAAAUUUUAACCCCUAACCUUAUCGGUCUGCUAGCCAGACCAUUAAUUAUUCUGAUAUACAGAUGACUGAAAGGUCAUUUUGUUUGUUAUAUUAACAAAAGUACAACUCUUAGCAAUGGAUAUCUUGGUUCUC
This 409-nucleotide unclassified non-coding RNA is filed under the name Basidiomycota sp. Its description in RNAcentral is "partial contains small subunit ribosomal RNA, internal transcribed spacer 1, and 5.8S ribosomal RNA". The stretch from base 1 to 47 matches the Rfam family "Eukaryotic small subunit ribosomal RNA", at positions 1785 to 1831 of the family's 1831-position model. The record is from RNAcentral. Lineage: Eukaryota; Fungi; Basidiomycota.